UACGGAGGAUGCGAGCGGUAUCCGGAUUUAUUGGGUUUAAAGGGUGCGCAGGCGGCACGGCAAGCCGGCGGUCAAAUCGCGGGGCUCAACCCCGCCCAGCCGUCGGAACUGCCGGGCUAGAGUGGGCGAGAAGUGCGCGGAAUGCGUGGUGUAGCGGUGAAAUGCAUAGAUAUCACGCAGAACUCCGAUUGCGAAGGCAGCGCACCGGCGCCCUACUGACGCUCAGGCACGAAAGCGUGGGUAUCGAACAGG
Molecule: ribosomal RNA, 252 nt
Filed under: uncultured bacterium
Lineage: Bacteria
Description: partial 16S ribosomal RNA
Rfam family: Bacterial small subunit ribosomal RNA
Source: RNAcentral